GUGGUUGUGGCGCAGUUGGUUAGCGCGUCUGGUUGUGGCCCAGAAGGUCGCCGGUUCAAGUCCGGUCGACCACCCCA
Molecule: transfer RNA, 77 nt
Filed under: Lentisphaeria bacterium
Lineage: Bacteria; Pseudomonadati; Lentisphaerota; Lentisphaeria
Description: tRNA-His
Rfam family: tRNA
About the family: Transfer RNA (tRNA) molecules are approximately 80 nucleotides in length. Their secondary structure includes four short double-helical elements and three loops (D, anti-codon, and T loops).
Source: RNAcentral